GUGUCAGCAGCCGCGGUAAUACGGAGGGCGCAAGCGUUAUCCGGAUUUAUUGGGCGUAAAGGGUUCGCAGGCGGUCUCUUAGGUUAGAUGUGGAAGAUCACGGCUCAACCGUGGUAAGCAUUUAAAACUGGGAGACUUGAGUUAAGGAGAGGAAAGUGGAAUUCCUAGUGUAGCGGUGAAAUGCGUAGAUAUUAGGAGGAAUACCAGUGGCGAAGGCGACUUUCUGGACUUAUACUGACGCUGAGGAACGAAAGCGUGGGGAGCGAACAGGAUUAGAAACCCCAGUAGUCC
This 291-nucleotide ribosomal RNA is filed under the name uncultured prokaryote. Its description in RNAcentral is "partial 16S ribosomal RNA". It matches the Rfam family "Bacterial small subunit ribosomal RNA", at positions 505 to 796 of the family's 1533-position model. The record is from RNAcentral.